Phrynosoma platyrhinos (Desert horned lizard) is the source of this 72-nucleotide non-coding RNA. The record is from the annotation of a GenBank genome assembly. Lineage: Eukaryota; Metazoa; Chordata; Lepidosauria; Squamata; Phrynosomatidae.
GCCAGCGUGGCAUAUUGGUUUGAGUGUUGGACUACAUAUCUGGAGAUCAGGGUUCAAAUCCUUGCUCAGACA